AUUGAACGCUGGCGGCAUGCCUUACACAUGCAAGUCGAACGGUAACAGGUCUUCGGAUGCUGACGAGUGGCGAACGGGUGAGUAAUACAUCGGAACGUGCCCGAUCGUGGGGGAUAACGAGGCGAAAGCUUUGCUAAUACCGCAUACGAUCUACGGAUGAAAGCGGGGGAUCUUCGGACCUCGCGCGGACGGAGCGGCCGAUGGCAGAUUAGGUAGUUGGUGGGAUAAAAGCUUACCAAGCCGACGAUCUGUAGCUGGUCUGAGAGGAUGAUCAGCCACACUGGGACUGAGACACGGCCCAGACUCCUACGGGAGGCAGCAGUGGGGAAUUUUGGACAAUGGGCGAAAGCCUGAUCCAGCCAUGCCGCGUGCAGGAUGAAGGCCUUCGGGUUGUAAACUGCUUUUGUACGGAACGAAGAGCCUCUUUCUAAUAAAGAGGGGUCAUGACGGUACCGUAAGAAUAAGCACCGGCUAACUACGUG
This 482-nucleotide ribosomal RNA is filed under the name uncultured bacterium. Its description in RNAcentral is "partial 16S ribosomal RNA". It matches the Rfam family "Bacterial small subunit ribosomal RNA", at positions 30 to 507 of the family's 1533-position model. The record is from RNAcentral.